AUUGAACGCUGGCGGCAUGCCUUACACAUGCAAGUCGAACGGCAGCACGGGUGCUUGCACCUGGUGGCGAGUGGCGAACGGGUGAGUAAUACAUCGGAACGUACCCUAUCGUGGGGGAUAACGCAGCGAAAGCUGUGCUAAUACCGCAUACGCCCUGAGGGGGAAAGCGGGGGAUCGCAAGACCUCGCGCGAUUAGAGCGGCCGAUGCCUGAUUAGCUUGUUGGUGGGGUAAAAGCCCACCAAGGCGACGAUCAGUAGCUGGUCUGAGAGGACGAGCAGCCAAACUGGGACUGAGGCACGGCCCAGACUCCUACGGGAGGCAGCAGUGGGGAGUUUUGGACAAUGGGGGCAACCCUGAUCCAGCAAUGCCGCGUGAGUGAAGAAGGCCUUCGGGUUGUAAAGCUCUUUUGUCAGGGAAGAAACACCGGCUCUAACACAGUCCGGGAAUGACGGUACCUGAAGAAUAAGCACCGGCUAACUACGUGCCAGCAGCCGCCGUAA
RNAcentral lists this ribosomal RNA (501 nucleotides) under uncultured bacterium. Its description in RNAcentral is "partial 16S ribosomal RNA". It matches the Rfam family "Bacterial small subunit ribosomal RNA", at positions 29 to 523 of the family's 1533-position model. The record is from RNAcentral.